Molecule: ribosomal RNA, 405 nt
Filed under: Muusoctopus yaquinae
Lineage: Eukaryota; Metazoa; Mollusca; Cephalopoda; Octopoda; Octopodidae
Description: Benthoctopus yaquinae partial 12S ribosomal RNA
Source: RNAcentral
UUUUGAUUUAUAAAAAUUGGUAAUACCUAAGUAUUAUGAAAAUAUUAUUUUGAAUUGGUGUUUUAUUAUUUAAAACUUAAAAGGUUUGGCGGUUUUACAUAUCCAAUUAGGGGAGUUUGUUAAUUGAUUUGAUGAUCCUCGUUUUAAACUUACUUUUUUUUGUUAUAUUUAUGUAUACAGUUUGUAUAUUGCUGUCGUUAGUUUAUGUUUUGAGAAUUGUUAAAAGACUAGAAAAUGUAUUGAUUUGUAUGUUAAGUCAUAAUGCAGCUAAUAAAAAAGGUUUAAUGAGCUACUUUAAUUAAUUUUAUUAAAUGUCCGGAUUUUAGAAAUUAUAUUUUAUUAGAAAGGUGGACUUAAUAGUAAAUGAUAAUUAGUGUGUAUUAUUGAAUUUGGUUUUGUAGAGUG